UACGUAGGGGGCAAGCGUUGUCCGGAUUUACUGGGCGUAAAGCGCGCGUAGGUGGAAGGGCCAGUCCGGCCUGAAAGCCCCCGGCUCAACCGGGGAGAGUCGCUGGAAACUGCCUUUCUUGAGGGCGAGAGAGGAGGGUGGAAUUCCUGGUGUAGCGGUGAAAUGCGUAGAGAUCAGGAGGAACACCCGUGGCGAAGGCGGCCCUCUGGCUCGACCCUGACGCUGAGGCGCGAAAGCGUGGGGAGCGAACGGG
Molecule: ribosomal RNA, 253 nt
Filed under: uncultured bacterium
Lineage: Bacteria
Description: partial 16S ribosomal RNA
Rfam family: Bacterial small subunit ribosomal RNA
Source: RNAcentral